RNAcentral lists this ribosomal RNA (468 nucleotides) under uncultured bacterium. Its description in RNAcentral is "partial 16S ribosomal RNA". It matches the Rfam family "Bacterial small subunit ribosomal RNA", at positions 28 to 507 of the family's 1533-position model. The record is from RNAcentral.
GACGAACGCUGGCGGCGUGCUUAACACAUGCAAGUCGAACGGAAAGGCCUUGCUUUUGUGGGGUGCUCGAGUGGCGAACGGGUGAGUAACACGUGAGUAACCUGCCCUUGACUUUGGGAUAACUUCAGGAAACUGGGGCUAAUACCGGAUAGGAGCUCCUGCUGCAUGGUGGGGGUUGGAAAGUUUCGGCGGUUGGGGAUGGACUCGCGGCUUAUCAGCUUGUUGGUGGGGUAGUGGCUUACCAAGGCUUUGACGGGUAGCCGGCCUGAGAGGGUGACCGGCCACAUUGGGACUGAGAUACGGCCCAGACUCCUACGGGAGGCAGCAGUGGGGAAUAUUGCACAAUGGGCGGAAGCCUGAUGCAGAAACGCCGCGUGCGGGAUGACGGCCUUCGGGUUGUAAACCGCUUUCGCCUGUGACGAAGCGUGAGUGACGGUAAUGGGUAAAGAAGCACCGGCUAACUACGUG